Homo sapiens (human) is the source of this 2234-nucleotide long non-coding RNA. Ensembl annotates it as long intergenic non-protein coding RNA 2609. NCBI's taxonomy places the organism in Eukaryota, Metazoa, Chordata, Mammalia, Primates, Hominidae. The record is from Ensembl.
AGAGGCCUCCCUUCCGAGGAGGCGGUGCUGGGGCGGGCGCAGGACUGCAGGCUGGGGCUCCGCUCCCCGGCGGGAGCCCGCGCGUGGUUCCCAGCGAAGUCCCCGCGCGGCUGGGCCCAGCGCUUCUAAUGUGAGGAAAAACACGGAAUGACAAGUGUGGGAAAGAGCAAGCACUAAAUUACUGUCAGAAAAAUAAACGGAGUAGCACAGUGCUGCUCGGUGAUUUACGGGGGCAAUUAGUCACCACCCCACGGCGCUGCUGAGGACAGCACGGCAGCAGACAAGUCAGGCCCAUGAGGAAGAAGAGGCUUUGCACUGCUCUCCAGACAACUUUUCAAACAACAAGAGAGGAUAUUUGAGCACAUUAGGUUUUGUGUCUUCAUUCUGGGUACCUACUCUUCAUAUUAUUCUACCAACUUAAUACAUAAACAUAUUUUUAGCACAAUAUGAACCUGUUCUAUGUGUGUUUAAAAGCCUCCAGCAGCAACUUUUUUCUCUCCCACUGUCCAAAGUUGGGUUUUCCCCAUCCCUUAAAAAACAAAACAAAAAAACCUUUCUUCACUCCAAAUUGUCCCCCUGGUGUGUGGUUUUGGUCUUUCUCAUUACUUCUUGCAUCUUGCUACAUGUUCUGCAUUUGCUCAGAGCCACUGGGUGCUAAGGAAUUUGGUCUGCUGCUCCUCUGGGAAAGUUUGGUAAGCUGGUACAAGGAGGUGAUGAACAAGGCUAAAUGAAAAUCAUACAUAAACUUCCCAAUAUUUGUGAACAUGUUCUUUAACAUACCAUACAUAGUUUCUAUGUAUAUGUAACAUAGCAAAACAAACUUGCUAAGGUAUAAUUAAUUGGUAUGCAUGCCUUCAUAAAUAUUCACCAUCAGAAGAAACCUAGAAUGAAAGGUUGUGAAAGAACCCAGGAAUGAGAAAGACUUUAUUGACUAAAGGCCAUGUCUAUGUAGGGGCAACAAUGAAGCUGUGGGUGAGCAAAUGAAGCUUCAUCAGGAGUUUAGUAUCCUUAUGUAGCAUUACCUAAGAAUGCUACCAUAGUAAAUUUCUGAAGUACUUUACCUGUUACAAAGAACGUUUGUAAUCUCCUUUUCUUAUUUGAUCUUGCCCUGGCUUUAGUCAGGAACACCUGCUCAGUUAGAAAUGUAUUCGGUGGGUAUGUACGCAGUUGGAGAAUGUGCCCCAACACACGCCGCCUUUGGCCUGUAUGUUGGAGUCCUAGAGAGGCAGACAAUGUUGAUGAGCUUGGUACCAGCAUGGUGCGCCAUUCAUCCGGACACAAUUUCUGAUAAAGAGGGUCACAACUGGGAGAAACCUCAGAUUCUACUUGCUUCUCUUCUCCACGUUAUUAGACUUUUUUUCCCCUCUUGAAUUUUAUAAGCACACUCCUUUUAAAACAAUUAAUUAAUAACGAGCACUGGGAUUUGAUGUAGAAUUGCGUAUUUGUAACUGCAAUGGCACUGGUUUUCAACUACCCUGUAACAAGGAAGCAAUUCUAACCAGCAAAAGAGGCAGACGUGUUUCUGUGCAACAUCACAGGCGUGUGAAAUUGUUCAGAUAUUGAGAUAUCAGGAGUGAUAUAAAUUGGAAAUUUAACCAAAAAUAUUUUCCAUCAGUGAACAAAGCCGAUUUUAAAGUGCCUCUUGCAUUUUUCAGAUCUUUCUCUUUCUUUUUCCCAAAGUCACAUUGUAGUUUCUGAUAAAGGAACACACUGGGAAAACUAAGCACAUAUUUAAUCAAUGAAAUUUAAGGUGUAAAAAUUCUGCAUUUCUGACAAAUUUAAUGUUCACUUUUUUCUUGAUUUAAAUAGAGCAUUCUAAAAAUAUUACCCCUAUAGGGGAUAAAUUUUUAUAUGCAUGUUAUUUUUCUUUACAAAGUGUGGGCUAGUAAAGAGUGAAAAAGACCUUGGCUAUUGUACUUAUUUCUUGAAAGAAAUAAUAGCAUCUUAAUGACUGGAUUCAAAUCUCUGCUUAUCACACAACUUCCGUACAGUUCAAAGAGAGGACUUGGAUUGAAUGAAAACAGAGAGCUGGGGCUUCCUACAUUCCCCUGUGUUUGUGUUCAUACAGAAUAUUUAUGCAAUAUUCUGACUUGGCCAUAAUCUGUAAUUCCUGCCUAUUAUUCUCAGUUGCAACUAUAAAUUCUAGAUUAAUGGUUAUAAUUUUGGUAAGGCAUACAUGAAAAGUUAUAUGUUCCUGCUUGAAAGGAGGAUCAUUAAAUAUUCAUUAUUACCAC